Trachemys scripta elegans is the source of this 1568-nucleotide long non-coding RNA. RefSeq lists it as uncharacterized. The record is from RefSeq and is a predicted model, not a curated record. The transcript is spliced from 3 exons. NCBI's taxonomy places the organism in Eukaryota, Metazoa, Chordata, Testudines, Emydidae.
AGCGGCUGGGCCCGUCCGGUGCGGGUGCGUGUGACGCGGUUGGGGAGGGGCUGGCUCCUGAGUCCUGACCCGCUUCACUCAGCUGCCCGGAUUGGGCCUUCCUCACGGCGCCACCAGCAGAGGUCUCCCAGCGAGCCCCGGCCCCGUUGGGGACGGCACAUUUUGGUUUAGUAAAAUCCUUCUCCUGCUCCAGGAGUGCCGGGCCCAGUCCUACCCGUGGCGCAAGCCAGCCAGGGGGGCUCAGCUGUCAUCUUUGAAGGCAAAACAGGAAAGUAUCCCGCUGUAGAGGAAAGACAGGAGAGAAUGAGACCAAUAUGGCUGCAGCAGAAGCUCUUUAUUAACCGGAAAAUCAAAAAAGAAUCUUACAAAAAGUGGAAACAUGGACAGAUUGCCAGGAGUACAAAAGAUUAGCACAUGGAUUUAGUGAUAAAAUCAGAAAGGCUAAGACACAGCAAGGGACAGUUACAGCUAGCAAGGGACAAAAGGCAAUAAGAAGUGAGUCUAAAAUACAGUAGGAGAAAGAGGAAGGAAAGUGUAAGGCCUUUACUUCACUGGAGAGGCGAGUGAAUAAUGGAUGACACCAUCACCAAGAAAGCUGAUGUGUUUAAUACCAUUUUUUUUCCCAGUCUUCACUAAAAAGGUUAUGACUAGAUGUUUAACACAAUGUUAACAAUAAGACAAAAGGAACACAAGCCAGAAGAGGGAAAUAACAGAUUAAAAUAUUAUGAUAAAUUAGAUGUAUUCAAAUGGUCUGGCCCUGAUGAAAUCCACCUCAGAUUUACUUAAGGAACUAUGUGAAGCAAUCUUGGGACUAUUAGUUACCUUCAAGAACUGAAUGAGUACUCAUAUCUUUCUCCUUUUUGUCCUCCUCUUUUGUAAACUAAUAACAAAAGGGGAGGGUAAAAAGAGGGAAAAUAUGCCCACUUAUUUAGCACAGAAUCACAAUGUUGAGAACAUUAAUCAAGGAACCAGAGGGCAUGAAGAAAAUAAAUUCUUUCGUUGGCUAUAUACCAAUGCCAGGAUCGUGGGUAAAAUAAAUAGACUUGGAAUUCCUCAUUUAUGAGGAUUAUCUGAAGGUUUUUCAGAUUAAUAGUUUCAUUAAUGGAUUUAUCCAGAGAAUUUCCUAAGAAUAUUGCAUCAUCAGAGAGCCCAGAAGUGCUGAGGGAUAGUAUAUCUAGAUCAGAGAUUGAAAAGAAGACACAUGGCAGCAGAUGCAAUAAGAGUGGUCAUUGGAAUCAGUUGUUGCAUGAAAUAUAAACAGAACACAAUUCUUUAAGGCAAUUCAAACAUUUUUGCUGUUGUUGGUCUUCAGAGAUUUGUCUGAAUGCACCAGCAGGAUAUUCUGGCGGUUUACCAUACAACAAAGUAGUUUGGAAAGAGGAAUCAGAAGCCUCUCUCAAAGAUGCAACCAUUCAGACCAACGUUUAAGUGAUCCAGUACAGAAUACAGAUUCCCUUUUUUGCUUCUUUAUUUUGAAGGUUUCCUGUCUGCAUAAGACUUAGAGACUGAGGGUACAUCUACACUACAGGGGGGAGUCGAUUUAAGAUACGCAAAUUCAGCUACGUGAA